GGGUUGUGAGGUUAAGCGACUAAGCGUACACGGUGGAUGCCCUGGCAGUCAGAGGCGAUGAAGGGCNNNNNNNNNNNNNNNAAGCGCCGGUAAGGUGAUAUGAACCGUUAUAACCGGCGAUACCCGAAUGGGGAAACCCAGUGUGAUUCGUCACACUAUCAUUAACUGAAUCCAUAGGUUAAUGAGGCGAACCGGGGGAACUGAAACAUCUAAGUACCCCGAGGAAAAGAAAUCAACCGAGAUUCCCCCAGUAGCGGCGAGCGAACGGGGAGGAGCCCAGAGCCUGAAUCAGCAUGUGUGUUAGUGGAAGCGUCUGGAAAGGCGCGCGAUACAGGGUGACAGCCCCGUACACAAAAGCGCAUGUGCUGUGAGCUCGAUGAGUAGGGCGGGACACGUGGUAUCCUGUCUGAAUAUGGGGGGACCAUCCUCCAAGGCUAAAUACUCCUGACUGACCGAUAGUGAACCAGUACCGUGAGGGAAAGGCGAAAAGAACCCCGGCGAGGGGAGUGAAAAAGAACCUGAAACCGUGUACGUACAAGCAGUGGGAGCACCCUUUGGGUGUGACUGCGUACCUUUUGUAUAAUGGGUCAGCGACUUAUAUUCUGUAGCAAGGUUAACCGAAUAGGGGAGCCGGAGGGAAACCGAGUCUUAAUUGGGCGUUAAGUUGCAGGGUAUAGACCCGAAACCCGGUGAUCUAGCCAUGGGCAGGUUGAAGGUUGGGUAACACUAACUGGAGGACCGAACCGACUAAUGUUGAAAAAUUAGCGGAUGACCUGUGGCUGGGGGUGAAAGGCCAAUCAAACCGGGAGAUAGCUGGUUCUCCCCGAAAGCUAUUUAGGUAGCGCCUCGUGAAUUCAUCUCCGGGGGUAGAGCACUGUUUCGGCUAGGGGGCCAUCCCGGCUUACCAACCCGAUGCAAACUGCGAAUACCGGAGAAUGUUAUCACGGGAGACACACGGCGGGUGCUAACGUCCGUCGUGAAGAGGGAAACAACCCAGACCGCCAGCUAAGGUCCCAAAGUCAUGGUUAAGUGGGAAACGAUGUGGGAAGGCCCAGACAGCCAGGAUGUUGGCUUAGAAGCAGCCAUCAUUUAAAGAAAGCGUAAUAGCUCACUGGUCGAGUCGGCCUGCGCGGAAGAUGUAACGGGGCUAAACCAUGCACCGAAGCUGCGGCAGCGACACUGUGUGUUGUUGGGUAGGGGAGCGUUCUGUAAGCCUGCGAAGGUGGCCUGUGAGGGUUGCUGGAGGUAUCAGAAGUGCGAAUGCUGACAUAAGUAACGAUAAAGCGGGUGAAAAGCCCGCUCGCCGGAAGACCAAGGGUUCCUGUCCAACGUUAAUCGGGGCAGGGUGAGUCGACCCCUAAGGCGAGGCCGAAAGGCGUAGUCGAUGGGAAACGGGUUAAUAUUCCCGUACUUGGUGUUACUGCGAAGGGGGGACGGAGAAGGCUAUGUUGGCCGGGCGACGGUUGUCCCGGUUUAAGCGUGUAGGUGUGUGUUCCAGGUAAAUCCGGUUCACUUUAACACUGAGGCGUGACGACGAGGCACUACGGUGCUGAAGCAACAAAUGCCCUGCUUCCAGGAAAAGCCUCUAAGCAUCAGGUAACAUCAAAUCGUACCCCAAACCGACACAGGUGGUCAGGUAGAGAAUACCAAGGCGCUUGAGAGAACUCGGGUGAAGGAACUAGGCAAAAUGGUGCCGUAACUUCGGGAGAAGGCACGCUGACACGUAGGUGAAGUGAUUUACUCAUGGAGCUGAAGUCAGUCGAAGAUACCAGCUGGCUGCAACUGUUUAUUAAAAACACAGCACUGUGCAAACACGAAAGUGGACGUAUACGGUGUGACGCCUGCCCGGUGCCGGAAGGUUAAUUGAUGGGGUCAGCGCAAGCGAAGCUCCUGAUCGAAGCCCCGGUAAACGGCGGCCGUAACUAUAACGGUCCUAAGGUAGCGAAAUUCCUUGUCGGGUAAGUUCCGACCUGCACGAAUGGCGUAAUGAUGGCCAGGCUGUCUCCACCCGAGACUCAGUGAAAUUGAACUCGCUGUGAAGAUGCAGUGUACCCGCGGCAAGACGGAAAGACCCCGUGAACCUUUACUAUAGCUUGACACUGAACAUUGAGCCUUGAUGUGUAGGAUAGGUGGGAGGCUUUGAAGUGUGGACGCCAGUCUGCAUGGAGCCGACCUUGAAAUACCACCCUUUAAUGUUUGAUGUUCUAACGUGGACCCGUUACCCGGGUUGCGGACAGUGUCUGGUGGGUAGUUUGACUGGGGCGGUCUCCUCCUAAAGAGUAACGGAGGAGCACGAAGGUUGGCUAAUCCUGGUCGGACAUCAGGAGGUUAGUGCAAUGGCAUAAGCCAGCUUGACUGCGAGCGUGACGGCGCGAGCAGGUGCGAAAGCAGGUCAUAGUGAUCCGGUGGUUCUGAAUGGAAGGGCCAUCGCUCAACGGAUAAAAGGUACUCCGGGGAUAACAGGCUGAUACCGCCCAAGAGUUCAUAUCGACGGCGGUGUUUGGCACCUCGAUGUCGGCUCAUCACAUCCUGGGGCUGAAGUAGGUCCCAAGGGUAUGGCUGUUCGCCAUUUAAAGUGGUACGCGAGCUGGGUUUAGAACGUCGUGAGACAGUUCGGUCCCUAUCUGCCGUGGGCGCUGGAGAACUGAGGGGGGCUGCUCCUAGUACGAGAGGACCGGAGUGGACGCAUCACUGGUGUUCGGGUUGUCAUGCCAAUGGCACUGCCCGGUAGCUAAAUGCGGAAGAGAUAAGUGCUGAAAGCAUCUAAGCACGAAACUUGCCCCGAGAUGAGUUCUCCCUGAGACUUAAAGUCUCCUGAAGGAACGUUGAAGACGACGACGUUGAUAGGCCGGGUGUGUAAGCGCAGCGAUGCGUUGAGCUAACCGGUACUAAUGAACCGUGAGGCUUAACCUUACAACGCCGAAG
RNAcentral lists this ribosomal RNA (2925 nucleotides) under Salmonella enterica subsp. enterica serovar Enteritidis str. EC20121826. RNAcentral's name for it is "bacterial LSU rRNA". It matches the Rfam family "Bacterial large subunit ribosomal RNA". Lineage: Bacteria; Pseudomonadati; Pseudomonadota; Gammaproteobacteria; Enterobacterales; Enterobacteriaceae. The record is from RNAcentral.